RNAcentral lists this ribosomal RNA (250 nucleotides) under uncultured bacterium. RNAcentral's name for it is "partial 16S ribosomal RNA". It matches the Rfam family "Bacterial small subunit ribosomal RNA", at positions 524 to 773 of the family's 1533-position model. The record is from RNAcentral.
UACGGAGGGUGCGAGCGUUAAUCGGAAUUACUGGGCGUAAAGCGCGCGUAGGCGGUUUGUUAAGUCAGCUGUGAAAGCCCCGGGCUCAACCUGGGAACUGCAGUUGAUACUGGCCGACUAGAGUACGAGAGAGGGAGGUAGAAUUCCAUGUGUAGCGGUGAAAUGCGUAGAUAUAUGGAGGAAUACCGGUGGCGAAGGCGGCCUCCUGGCUCGAUACUGACGCUGAGGUGCGAAAGCGUGGGGAUCAAAC